CAGGUGAUUUCUGCCCGGUGGUGGACUAAACGGCCGCGGUAUUUUGACCGUGCAAAGGUAGCAUAAUCAUUUGUCCUUUAAUUGGGGGCUGGUAUGAAAGAAAGGUCGAGGUUCUUGCUGUCUCUUUUUUUUGUGGGGAAUUUGCUGUUUUUGUGAAGAAGCAAAAUUGAUAAAAAAAGACAAGAAGACCCUAUUAAGCUUUAUUUUUUAUUUAUAUGGUUUUGUUUAAAAAUAUUUUGAAUAUAAUAAAAAAAUUUGGUUGGGGCGGCUAAAGAAGAUAAUUAUCUUCUUUUGUUUAAUUGAUUAUAAAUCUAAAAAGGACCCAAAAGUUUUUGGUUUUUAGAAUUAGUUACUAUAGGGAUAACAGCGUUAUCUUUUCAGAAAGUUCUUAUUGGAGAAAAGGUUUGCGACCUCGAUGUUGACUUGUUGUUUCCUGUUAAGGUGUAGUAGCUGUGAGGGUUAGUCUGUUCGACUAUUAAAACAAUACGUGAUCUGAGGUUCAGACCGGA
RNAcentral lists this ribosomal RNA (509 nucleotides) under Evelineus tigrillus. Its description in RNAcentral is "partial 16S ribosomal RNA". It matches the Rfam family "Bacterial large subunit ribosomal RNA", at positions 1849 to 2620 of the family's 2925-position model. The record is from RNAcentral. Lineage: Eukaryota; Metazoa; Nemertea; Pilidiophora; Heteronemertea; Lineidae.